This 253-nucleotide ribosomal RNA is filed under the name uncultured bacterium. RNAcentral's name for it is "partial 16S ribosomal RNA". It matches the Rfam family "Bacterial small subunit ribosomal RNA", at positions 524 to 776 of the family's 1533-position model. The record is from RNAcentral.
UACGUAGGGGGCAAGCGUUGUCCGGAUUUAUUGGGCGUAAAGAGCGUGUAGGCGGCCUUACAGGUCAGCUGUGAAAACUCGAGGCUCAACCUCGAGACGUCGGUUGAAACCGUAUGGCUAGAGUCCGGAAGAGGAGAGUGGAAUUCCCGGUGUAGCGGUGAAAUGCGCAGAUAUCGGGAAGAACACCCGUGGCGAAGGCGGCUCUCUGGGACGGUACUGACGCUGAGGUGCGAAAGCGUGGGGAGCAAACAGG